Molecule: ribosomal RNA, 137 nt
Filed under: uncultured bacterium
Lineage: Bacteria
Description: partial 16S ribosomal RNA
Source: RNAcentral
CACGUAGUUAGCCGUGGCUUAUUCAUCGGGUACCGUCAGAACUUCUUCCCCGAUAAAAGAGGUUUACGACCCGAAGGCCUUCAUCCCUCACGCGGCGUCGCUGGAUCAGGCUUUCGCCCAUUGCCCAAGAUUCCUCG